UUAAAGAUUGUGAUAAGGAAUAGUAUAUAAUGAUGAGCUUUUAAGAGAGCUAGAGUUUGGUGGAAUCUAGCAGGCGAACUUUAUAGAAGCAGCCUUUGAAUUUUAUAGCUGAAAAAUAAAAAUUAUUUAUAUUAUAAUUUUUAACUAGGUUAUAACGUGACCCUCACGUUAUAGAGGAUGAGUAUAUUAUAUGUACUCUAGCUGAGUGAACAAUAUUUAUAUUGUUUAUUAGGGUGGUACCGCGAAGUAGUUCUUUCGUCCCUUGU
RNAcentral lists this non-coding RNA (266 nucleotides) under Clostridium sp. Its description in RNAcentral is "T-box sequence". It matches the Rfam family "T-box leader". Rfam says of the family: Uncharged tRNA acts as the effector for transcription antitermination of genes in the T-box leader family. T-boxes are found upstream of many aminoacyl-tRNA synthetase genes and some amino acid biosynthetic genes usually in Gram-positive bacteria. Lineage: Bacteria; Bacillati; Bacillota; Clostridia; Eubacteriales; Clostridiaceae. The record is from RNAcentral.